This 321-nucleotide long non-coding RNA is filed under the name Androctonus crassicauda. The record is from RNAcentral. Lineage: Eukaryota; Metazoa; Arthropoda; Arachnida; Scorpiones; Buthidae.
AGCACUUGCCAGAGUGGCAGGCAUUGGGCCCAGCCAUUCCCAUUGUAAUAUGUGGACUCAGCAGUGUUCUGAGUUCCAUUUCCUGUCCCCAAGAGCAGUCAGCUCCUUGUUCUGCCCAACUUCUACUAGGCUAGCCAAAUGUGGAGCCCCUCCAUCACGGGCUGGCCAGGAGCACCUGUCGUACCAAUCAAAGUUGUUUCUUGUGGUCUUUUCCCCACCCCAAUCCUGGAGUUUGUCCUGGCAGGUCAGGAAGGAGUGUGGGCCCAGUGCCCUUCAAACAUCAGAGCUUUGGGUACUGGAUGUAACUGCUCCUUGAGUUCU